This is a long non-coding RNA of Sander lucioperca (pikeperch), 74 nucleotides long. RefSeq lists it as uncharacterized. The record is from RefSeq and is a predicted model, not a curated record. Lineage: Eukaryota; Metazoa; Chordata; Actinopteri; Perciformes; Percidae. The transcript has 3 exons.
UUAUCAUCUAUUGGUAAGCUGGAUUGCCCAUCAGCGUCUAUAUUAGACACUCAGAGCAACUGCUCCACUGAGGC